This 379-nucleotide ribosomal RNA is filed under the name uncultured Prochlorococcus sp. Its description in RNAcentral is "bacterial SSU rRNA". It matches the Rfam family "Bacterial small subunit ribosomal RNA", at positions 376 to 770 of the family's 1533-position model. Lineage: Bacteria; Bacillati; Cyanobacteriota; Cyanophyceae; Synechococcales; Prochlorococcaceae. The record is from RNAcentral.
CGAAAGCCUGACGGAGCAACGCCGCGUGAGGGAUGAAGGCCUCUGGGCUGUAAACCUCUUUUCUCAAGGAAGAAGAUCUGACGGUACUUGAGGAAUAAGCCACGGCUAAUUCCGUGCCAGCAGCCGCGGUAAUACGGGAGUGGCAAGCGUUAUCCGGAAUUAUUGGGCGUAAAGCGUCCGCAGGCGGCCCUUCAAGUCUGCUGUUAAAAAGUGGAGCUUAACUCCAUCAUGGCAGUGGAAACUGUUGGGCUUGAGUGUGGUAGGGGCAGAGGGAAUUCCCGGUGUAGCGGUGAAAUGCGUAGAUAUCGGGAAGAACACCAGUGGCGAAGGCGCUCUGCUGGGCCAUAACUGACGCUCAUGGACGAAAGCCAGGGGAGCG